Talpa occidentalis (Iberian mole) is the source of this 972-nucleotide long non-coding RNA. RefSeq lists it as uncharacterized. NCBI's taxonomy places the organism in Eukaryota, Metazoa, Chordata, Mammalia, Eulipotyphla, Talpidae. The transcript is spliced from 3 exons. The record is from RefSeq and is a predicted model, not a curated record.
UGAAGAUGUGGAGAGGCCCAGGCUGCAGACACUGUUCUUGGCCACCAAAGAAAGAAGCAGCUUCCAGGGAGACGCCUCCAGCAGUCGACCUCUGAAGAAAAGCCAAGGAGAUUUGCAGGGGACCAGGCUGCUGAAUCUGCCUACAGUCUUGUUGUCUUCUGGAGGCAGAGAGAGAGCAAAGGCCCCCGGCCUAGCAUCACCCUGAGCUGUUGCUGGUGGUGUGAGCUAAAAGCUCAUGAAGAGCUGAUUAUCCACCAUCAUCUCCAUUGCUGUCUGUUCCAGCAUCCAGUGCUGUUCCUCCCGACCUCUGGGCUGCUGCAUCAUUUUACCUGCCCUGGCUGUGAGCCCCUCCGGCUGUGCUGCCACCAUGAGUUGGCUCACGGUCACCACUUACCAGCUGUCACGCCAACAGGUGAUCGUUUGCUGGCCGAUUUCAUCUUGGAGGGGCGACCUUUUUUUGGAACUUCUGAACACUGGAUUUGAAGAAUGUGACUCUUCUUUGGGCCUUAUUGUCUGGAGUGUAGCCCCAGGACAAUGCAGAAUGGAGGUGGUCAAAUCCGAAAGCAUUGCCUUGCAGCUGGUCUCCGAGGGAGGGAGGAGCUUUCAAUUUGUGCUAACUGUGCUGCCUGCACUGCCUGCAGGGUUUGCACAGCCUCCUUAGCAAGUUGAAGAAGUCUCUGCAGACCUUGCUGGACACUUACCAUCAGUGCGUGCUUGCCGAAUUUUCCCACAUCCUUUUUCUGCCCAUUUAUUGAGGCUUCCCAAACUUUUGUUUAUUUGCAUUCUGAGGGAAAAGAGCUUCACUAGAAAGAUCACAUCUGAACUGCUGACCACCAGGUGAUGAGAAAGCAAGCUGGGAUUAACCAAAGUCUCCAAAGGUUGGUGCUGCAUAGACAGACAUGCUUGUCCUUGAGCACUACCCCUUCACCCCCUGUAACUGCAUAAAUACCCCUGAGCUCUGCCAAAGAGCAG